This 1376-nucleotide ribosomal RNA is filed under the name Kocuria rosea. Its description in RNAcentral is "bacterial SSU rRNA". It matches the Rfam family "Bacterial small subunit ribosomal RNA". The record is from RNAcentral. Lineage: Bacteria; Bacillati; Actinomycetota; Actinomycetes; Micrococcales; Micrococcaceae.
GCAAGUCGAACGAUGAUGCCCAGCUUGCUGGGCGGAUUAGUGGCGAACGGGUGAGUAAUACGUGAGUAACCUGCCCUUGACUCUGGGAUAAGCCUGGGAAACUGGGUCUAAUACUGGAUACUACCUCUUACCGCAUGGUGGGUGGUGGAAAGGGUUUUACUGGUUUUGGAUGGGCUCACGGCCUAUCAGCUUGUUGGUGGGGUAAUGGCUCACCAAGGCGACGACGGGUAGCCGGCCUGAGAGGGUGACCGGCCACACUGGGACUGAGACACGGCCCAGACUCCUACGGGAGGCAGCAGUGGGGAAUAUUGCACAAUGGGCGGAAGCCUGAUGCAGCGACGCCGCGUGAGGGAUGACGGCCUUCGGGUUGUAAACCUCUUUCAGUAGGGAAGAAGCGAGAGUGACGGUACCUGCAGAAGAAGCGCCGGCUAACUACGUGCCAGCAGCCGCGGUAAUACGUAGGGCGCAAGCGUUGUCCGGAAUUAUUGGGCGUAAAGAGCUCGUAGGCGGUUUGUCGCGUCUGCUGUGAAAGCCCGGGGCUCAACCCCGGGUCUGCAGUGGGUACGGGCAGACUAGAGUGCAGUAGGGGAGACUGGAAUUCCUGGUGUAGCGGUGAAAUGCGCAGAUAUCAGGAGGAACACCGAUGGCGAAGGCAGGUCUCUGGGCUGUUACUGACGCUGAGGAGCGAAAGCAUGGGGAGCGAACAGGAUUAGAUACCCUGGUAGUCCAUGCCGUAAACGUUGGGCACUAGGUGUGGGGGACAUUCCACGUUUUCCGCGCCGUAGCUAACGCAUUAAGUGCCCCGCCUGGGGAGUACGGCCGCAAGGCUAAAACUCAAAGGAAUUGACGGGGGCCCGCACAAGCGGCGGAGCAUGCGGAUUAAUUCGAUGCAACGCGAAGAACCUUACCAAGGCUUGACAUUCACCGGACCGCCCCAGAGAUGGGGUUUCCCUUCGGGGCUGGUGGACAGGUGGUGCAUGGUUGUCGUCAGCUCGUGUCGUGAGAUGUUGGGUUAAGUCCCGCAACGAGCGCAACCCUCGUUCUAUGUUGCCAGCACGUGAUGGUGGGGACUCAUAGGAGACUGCCGGGGUCAACUCGGAGGAAGGUGGGGAUGACGUCAAAUCAUCAUGCCCCUUAUGUCUUGGGCUUCACGCAUGCUACAAUGGCCGGUACAAAGGGUUGCGAUACUGUGAGGUGGAGCUAAUCCCAAAAAGCCGGUCUCAGUUCGGAUUGAGGUCUGCAACUCGACCUCAUGAAGUCGGAGUCGCUAGUAAUCGCAGAUCAGCAACGCUGCGGUGAAUACGUUCCCGGGCCUUGUACACACCGCCCGUCAAGUCACGAAAGUUGGUAACACCCGAAGCCGGUGGCCUAACCCC